This 253-nucleotide ribosomal RNA is filed under the name uncultured bacterium. RNAcentral's name for it is "partial 16S ribosomal RNA". It matches the Rfam family "Bacterial small subunit ribosomal RNA", at positions 524 to 776 of the family's 1533-position model. The record is from RNAcentral.
GACAGAGGGUGCAAACGUUGUUCGGAAUUACUGGGCGUAAAGCGCGUGUAGGCUGCUCGGAAAGUCGGAUGUGAAAGCCCUGGGCUCAACCUAGGAAGUGCAUUCGAAACUUCCGAGCUGGAGUGCUGGAGAGGAAGGCGGAAUUCUCGGUGUAGAGGUGAAAUUCGUAGAUAUCGGAGAGGAACACCGGUGGCGAAGGCGGCCUCUGGACAGUGACUGACGCUGAGACGCGAAAGCGUGGGGAGCAAACAGG